This 492-nucleotide ribosomal RNA is filed under the name uncultured Eubacteriales bacterium. RNAcentral's name for it is "bacterial SSU rRNA". It matches the Rfam family "Bacterial small subunit ribosomal RNA", at positions 8 to 507 of the family's 1533-position model. The record is from RNAcentral. Lineage: Bacteria; Bacillati; Bacillota; Clostridia; Eubacteriales.
AGAGUUUGAUCCUGGCUCAGGAUGAACGCUGGCGGCGUGCUUAACACAUGCAAGUCGAGCGAAAUAAUUGGGAGCUUGCUUUUGAUUAUUUUAGCGGCGGACGGGUGAGUAACGUGUGGGUAACCUGCCUUUUACUGGGGAAUAAUCACUGGAAACGGUGACUAAUACCGCAUACGGUUCUUGGAAGGCAUCUUCUAGGAAAGAAAGGAUUUAUUCGGUAAAAGAUGGGCCCGCAUCUGAUUAGCUAGUUGGUGAGAUAACAGCCCACCAAGGCGACGAUCAGUAGCCGACCUGAGAGGGUGACCGGCCACAUUGGGACUGAGACACGGCCCAAACUCCUACGGGAGGCAGCAGUGGGGAAUAUUGCACAAUGGGCGAAAGCCUGAUGCAGCAACGCCGCGUGAAGGAAGACGGUUUUCGGAUUGUAAACUUCUAUCAAUAGGGAAGAAAAAAAUGACGGUACCUAAAUAAGAAGCCCCGGCUAACUACGUG